GACGGCCUUCGGGUUGUAAACCUCUUUCAGCAGGGAAGAAGCGCAAGUGACGGUACCUGCAGAAGAAGCACCGGCUAACUACGUGCCAGCAGCCGCGGUAAUACGUAGGGUGCAAGCGUUGUCCGGAAUUAUUGGGCGUAAAGAGCUCGUAGGCGGCCUGUCACGUCGGAUGUGAAAGCCCGGGGCUUAACCCCGGGUCUGCAUUCGAUACGGGCAGGCUAGAGUUCGGUAGGGGAGAUCGGAAUUCCUGGUGUAGCGGUGAAAUGCGCAGAUAUCAGGAGGAACACCGGUGGCGAAGGCGGAUCUCUGGGCCGAUACUGACGCUGAGGAGCGAAAGCGUGGGGAGCGAACAGGAUUAGAUACCCUGGUAGUCCACGCCGUAAACGUUGGGAACUAGGUGUGGGCGACAUUCCACGUCGUCCGUGCCGCAGCUAACGCAUUAAGUUC
RNAcentral lists this ribosomal RNA (447 nucleotides) under Streptomyces radiopugnans. RNAcentral's name for it is "bacterial SSU rRNA". It matches the Rfam family "Bacterial small subunit ribosomal RNA", at positions 410 to 867 of the family's 1533-position model. Lineage: Bacteria; Bacillati; Actinomycetota; Actinomycetes; Kitasatosporales; Streptomycetaceae. The record is from RNAcentral.